Molecule: ribosomal RNA, 466 nt
Filed under: uncultured bacterium
Lineage: Bacteria
Description: bacterial SSU rRNA
Rfam family: Bacterial small subunit ribosomal RNA
Source: RNAcentral
GGACCCGCACAAGCGGUGGAUGAUGUGGAUUAAUUCGAUGCAACGCGAAAAACCUUACCUACCCUUGACAUGCCAGGAACUCUGCUGAGAAGUGGAGGUGCCCGAAAGGGAGCCUGGACACAGGUGCUGCAUGGCUGUCGUCAGCUCGUGUCGUGAGAUGUUGGGUUAAGUCCCGCAACGAGCGCAACCCUUGUCGUUAAUUGCCAUCAUUCAGUUGGGCACUUUAACGAGACUGCCGGUGACAAACCGGAGGAAGGUGGGGAUGACGUCAAGUCCUCAUGGCCCUUAUGGGUAGGGCUUCACACGUCAUACAAUGGUCGGUACAGAGGGUUGCCAAGCCGCGAGGCGGAGCGAAUCUCACAAAGCCGAUCGUAGUCCGGAUCGCAGUCUGCAACUCGACUGCGUGAAGUCGGAAUCGCUAGUAAUCGCGGAUCAGCAUGUCGCGGUGAAUACGUUCCCGGGUCUU